UACGUAGGGUGCGAGCGUUGUCCGGAAUUAUUGGGCGUAAAGAGCUUGUAGGCGGUUUGUCGCGUCUGCUGUGAAAAUCCGGGGCUCAACCCCGAACUUGCAGUGGGUACGGGCAGACUAGAGUGUGGUAGGGGAGACUGGAAUUCCUGGUGUAGCGGUGGAAUGCGCAGAUAUCAGGAGGAACACCAAUGGCGAAGGCAGAUCUCUGGGCCGUAACUGACGCUGAGGAGCGAAAGCAUGGGGAGCGAACAGG
RNAcentral lists this ribosomal RNA (253 nucleotides) under uncultured bacterium. Its description in RNAcentral is "partial 16S ribosomal RNA". It matches the Rfam family "Bacterial small subunit ribosomal RNA", at positions 524 to 776 of the family's 1533-position model. The record is from RNAcentral.